RNAcentral lists this ribosomal RNA (468 nucleotides) under uncultured bacterium. RNAcentral's name for it is "partial 16S ribosomal RNA". It matches the Rfam family "Bacterial small subunit ribosomal RNA", at positions 28 to 507 of the family's 1533-position model. The record is from RNAcentral.
GACGAACGCUGGCGGCGUGCUUAACACAUGCAAGUCGAACGGAAAGGCCCUGCUUUUGUGGGGUGCUCGAGUGGCGAACGGGUGAGUAACACGUGAGUAACCUGCCCUUGACUUUGGGAUAACUUCAGGAAACUGGGGCUAAUACCGGAUAGGAGCUCCUGCUGCAUGGUGGGGGUUGGAAAGUUUCGGCGGUUGGGGAUGGACUCGCGGCUUAUCAGCUUGUUGGUGGGGUAGUGGCUUACCAAGGCUUUGACGGGUAGCCGGCCUGAGAGGGUGACCGGCCACAUUGGGACUGAGAUACGGCCCAGACUCCUACGGGAGGCAGCAGUGGGGAAUAUUGCACAAUGGGCGGAAGCCUGAUGCAGCAACGCCGCGUGCGGGAUGACGGCCUUCGGGUUGUAAACCGCUUUCGCCUGUGACGAAGCGUGAGUGACGGUAAUGGGUAAAGAUGCACCGGCUAACUACGUG